Callorhinus ursinus (northern fur seal) is the source of this 807-nucleotide long non-coding RNA. RefSeq lists it as uncharacterized. NCBI's taxonomy places the organism in Eukaryota, Metazoa, Chordata, Mammalia, Carnivora, Otariidae. The record is from RefSeq and is a predicted model, not a curated record.
CAGGGCACACUGGCCUGCCCCUGCCCUUGAGGUCGGCACCUUGGCGGUCUGAGAAUUUGGAGCUUGGUCAUGCUGGGCCUGUGGGCUGAGCUCCCAGGAGCCAAGGAGCAGAGAAAGGAUCAGCUACAGGAUCGGGCCUAGGUCAGAUCCUCAGAGGUAAGCCCCACAAAGGCAGGCGUGUUCGUCAGUGUCUAAGACCAUGCCUGGAAAUCAGUAAAUAUUUGUUGAAUGAACGAGGCUCCGAGACAUGUAGGAUGUACUCAAGGUCACACAGUAUGUCCGUGAGAGAGAAAGAGAUGCAAACCCAGCACUGUCUGAGGACAGCAAAUUAAAAGAAGCAUUCCACUCCAUUCUGGUAAGAAAAACCCAGAUCCUGGAUGAGGGAGUGCUCUGGUCUGGAAUAUACCAUUCUCACGGCGCAGAGGGCGUGAGUGGGAGCUGCGAGAAACAUGGAGUGCCUCUGAACACUUCUCCCGGGAUGUGAUGGCCCCUGGUUCUCUAACUGCAUUACCUUCAGGAUGGAUGGGCGACAGCGAUGGAUGGGCCACUGGAUGGACAGUGACAGUGUUUCUGUGAGGUGCACCUGAGGAGGGCUCAUUGGGCCAGAGAGCAUGCAGAAUUCUGAUCGACACUCCCGUCAACGGCAUGUGCCAGAGUCUACACAACGGCAGCCUCUUCCGUUUCUGCUAAGAGAAGCAGCCCAUGGUAGUUUGCAUGUAUGAUUUGCAUGUACUUGAUUCUUUCUGAGGUAGAGUACCCGUCGGAAUGUUGGAAUGGUUAUUUACAUUUCUAAAGGGAAGGACCUCU